UUAAAUCAAAUUUGUAUGGAGUUGGGACGUUUGCCUAUGUUUGCCGCUAGGGGCGCUGUUUCAACUGCUGUUGCAACUGCUGGUGA
Molecule: microRNA precursor, 86 nt
Filed under: Bombyx mori (domestic silkworm)
Lineage: Eukaryota; Metazoa; Arthropoda; Insecta; Lepidoptera; Bombycidae
Description: mir-2807 microRNA precursor family
Rfam family: mir-2807 microRNA precursor family
Source: Rfam by way of RNAcentral